RNAcentral lists this long non-coding RNA (293 nucleotides) under Triticum aestivum (bread wheat). RNAcentral's name for it is "long non-coding RNA (TAES_LNC023548)". The record is from RNAcentral. Lineage: Eukaryota; Viridiplantae; Streptophyta; Magnoliopsida; Poales; Poaceae.
UCAGGGUUAAUGUAAUAAUGCAGGUAGGCAAGUAAUUUCCGGCUGUGGUACUUGCGGUCCUGCUCUCCGAACUCCGAUUCGAUCUUCGGGCACAAGAUCAUACAGCAGGUUCUGCAGGCCCCACAUCAGCUCCUCCGCGGCUUCAUCGCACCUACAGGGAAUUCCCUGUGUAUGACCACACACAAUAAUAUUGGAGUUGCCAUCAGGAUUUUGCACACUUGCACAAGCAACAAGGAAAAGCAUCGAUACUAACCAGAUUGCUUUCAAUAGCUUCUUUGUAUUUAGAUUCGCCG